GACAAAGUGUGUAAUCCUCUGUGCCUCAGU
This 30-nucleotide non-coding RNA is filed under the name Homo sapiens (human). The record is from RNAcentral. Lineage: Eukaryota; Metazoa; Chordata; Mammalia; Primates; Hominidae.